AUUGAACGCUGGCGGCAUGCUUUACACAUGCAAGUCGAACGGCAGCACGGGGGCAACCCUGGUGGCGAGUGGCGAACGGGUGAGUAACACAUCGGAACGUGUCCAGUUGUGGGGGAUAACCCAUCGAAAGGUGGGCUAAUACCGCAUGAGCUGGCAACAGGAAAGCGGGGGACCCGCAAGGGCCUUGUGCGAUUGGAGCGGCCGAUGUCCGAUUAGCUAGUUGUGGGGUAAAGGCCUACCAAGGCUUCGAUCGGUAGCUGGUCUGAGAGGAUGAUCAGCCACACUGGGACUGAGACACGGCCCAGACUCCUUACGGGAGGCAGCAGUGGGGAAUUUUGGACAAUGGGGCAACCCUGAUCCAGCCAUGCCGCGUGAGUGAAGAAGG
This 385-nucleotide ribosomal RNA is filed under the name uncultured bacterium. RNAcentral's name for it is "bacterial SSU rRNA". It matches the Rfam family "Bacterial small subunit ribosomal RNA", at positions 29 to 414 of the family's 1533-position model. The record is from RNAcentral.